This 860-nucleotide ribosomal RNA is filed under the name uncultured bacterium. Its description in RNAcentral is "bacterial SSU rRNA". It matches the Rfam family "Bacterial small subunit ribosomal RNA", at positions 26 to 877 of the family's 1533-position model. The record is from RNAcentral.
UAAUUUGACGUUGCGGCAUGCCUUACACAUGCAGUCGAACGGCAGCAUGAUCUAGCUUGCUAGAUUGAUGGCGAGUGGCGAACGGGUGAGUAAUACAUCGGAACGUGCCCUGUAGUGGGGGAUAACUAGUCGAAAGAUUAGCUAAUACCGCAUACGACCUGAGGGUGAAAGUGGGGGACCGCAAGGCCUCAUGCUAUAGGAGCGGCCGAUGUCUGAUUAGCUAGUUGGUGGGGUAAAGGCCCACCAAGGCGACGAUCAGUAGCUGGUCUGAGAGGACGAUCAGCCACACUGGGACUGAGACACGGCCCAGACUCCUACGGGAGGCAGCAGUGGGGAAUUUUGGACAAUGGGCGAAAGCCUGAUCCAGCAAUGCCGCGUGUGUGAAGAAGGCCUUCGGGUUGUAAAGCACUUUUGUCCGGAAAGAAAUGGCUCUGGUUAAUACCUGGGGUCGAUGACGGUACCGGAAGAAUAAGGACCGGCUAACUACGUGCCAGCAGCCGCGGUAAUACGUAGGGUCCAAGCGUUAAUCGGAAUUACUGGGCGUAAAGCGUGCGCAGGCGGUUGUGCAAGACCGAUGUGAAAUCCCCGAGCUUAACUUGGGAAUUGCAUUGGUGACUGCACGGCUAGAGUGUGUCAGAGGGGGGUAGAAUUCCACGUGUAGCAGUGAAAUGCGUAGAGAUGUGGAGGAAUACCGAUGGCGAAGGCAGCCCCCCUGGGAUAACACUGACGCUCAUGCACGAAGGCGUGGAGAGCAAACAGGAUUAGAUACCCUGGUAGUCCACGCCCUAAACGAUGUCAACUAGUUGUUGGGGAUUCAUUUCCUUAGUAACGUAGCUAACGCGUGAAGUUGACCGCCUGGG